This 253-nucleotide ribosomal RNA is filed under the name uncultured bacterium. RNAcentral describes it as "partial 16S ribosomal RNA". It matches the Rfam family "Bacterial small subunit ribosomal RNA", at positions 524 to 776 of the family's 1533-position model. The record is from RNAcentral.
UACGUAGGGUGCAAGCGUUAAUCGGAAUUACUGGGCGUAAAGCGUGCGCAGGCGGUUAUGUAAGACAGGUGUGAAAUCCCCGGGCUUAACCUGGGAACUGCAUUUGUGACUGCAUAGCUAGAGUACGGUAGAGGGGGAUGGAAUUCCGCGUGUAGCAGUGAAAUGCGUAGAUAUGCGGAGGAACACCGAUGGCGAAGGCAAUCCCCUGGACCUGUACUGACGCUCAGGCACGAAAGCGUGGGGAGCAAACAGG